UGAACCAUAAGUUAAACAUGUAUGCCUCUGGAUGACUUGGUGACAUUGCGAUUAUAUUAGUAUGGUGUUAAAGGAAAUGACUUUUUUUUUGGUCACCAGUUCUCCUUUGUUUACAGACAGAGUGAUUUCUGAUUGCAGAGGUUAGAACAACAUACCUAUUAGGAAACUUUUAACAGGAGAGGACCCUAAAG
Long non-coding RNA from Thalassophryne amazonica, 191 nucleotides. RefSeq lists it as uncharacterized. The record is from RefSeq and is a predicted model, not a curated record. NCBI's taxonomy places the organism in Eukaryota, Metazoa, Chordata, Actinopteri, Batrachoidiformes, Batrachoididae. The transcript has 3 exons.